UGUGUAGGCGGACCGUUAAGUGCCUUGUAAAAUCCCACGGCUCAACCGUGGAACGUCUGGGCAGACUGGCGGUUCUUGAGCCAUCCAGGGGCAACCGGAACAAACGGUGGAGCGGUGAAAUGCGUAGAUAUCGUUUGGAACGCCAACGGUGAAAACAGGUUGCUGGGGAUGUGCUGACGCUGAGACACGAAAGCCAGGGGAGCAAACGGGAUUAGAUACCCCGGUAGUCCUGGCCCUAAACGAUGUCCGCUGGAUCGCAGGCUCUUGACGGGCUUGCGGUCGCAGCCAAAGUGCUAAGUGGACCGCCUGGGAAGUACGGUCGCAAGGCUAAA
RNAcentral lists this ribosomal RNA (332 nucleotides) under uncultured bacterium. RNAcentral's name for it is "bacterial SSU rRNA". It matches the Rfam family "Bacterial small subunit ribosomal RNA", at positions 568 to 898 of the family's 1533-position model. The record is from RNAcentral.